RNAcentral lists this ribosomal RNA (254 nucleotides) under uncultured bacterium. RNAcentral describes it as "partial 16S ribosomal RNA". It matches the Rfam family "Bacterial small subunit ribosomal RNA", at positions 524 to 776 of the family's 1533-position model. The record is from RNAcentral.
UACGGGGGGAGCAAGCGUUGUUCGGAUUUACUGGGCGUAAAGGGCGCGUAGGCGGCCACCGCAAGUCGACUGUGAAAUCUCCGGGCUUAACCCGGAAAGGUCAGCCGAUACUGCGGGGCUAGAGUGCAGAAGGGGCAACUGGAAUUCUCGGUGUAGCGGUGAAAUGCGUAGAUAUCGGGAGGAACACCUGCGGCGAAGGCGGGUUGCUGGGCUGACACUGACGCUGAUGCGCGAAAGCUAGGGGAGCGAACGGG